CCAGCCACACUGGAACUGAGACACGGUCCAGACUCCUACGGGAGGCAGCAGUGGGGAAUAUUGCACAAUGGGCGCAAGCCUGAUGCAGCCAUGCCGCGUGUAUGAAGAAGGCCUUCGGGUUGUAAAGUACUUUCAGCGGGGAGGAAGGGAGUAAAGUUAAUACCUUUGCUCAUUGACGUUACCCGCAGAAGAAGCACCGGCUAACUCCGUGCCAGCAGCCGCGGUAAUACGGAGGGUGCAAGCGUUAAUCGGAAUUACUGGGCGUAAAGCGCACGCAGGCGGUUUGUUAAGUCAGAUGUGAAAUCCCCGGGCUCAACCUGGGAACUGCAUCUGAUACUGGCAAGCUUGAGUCUCGUAGAGGGGGGUAGAAUUCCAGGUGUAGCGGUGAAAUGCGUAGAGAUCUGGAGGAAUACCGGUGGCGAAGGCGGCCCCCUGGACGAAGACUGACGCUCAGGUGCGAAAGCGUGGGGAGCAAACAGGAUUAGAUACCCUGGUAGUCCACGCCGUAAACGAUGUCGACUUGGAGGUUGUGCCCUUGAGGCGUGGCUUCCGGAGCUAACGCGUUAAGUCGACCGCCUGGGGAGUACGGCCGCAAGGUUAAAACUCAAAUGAAUUGACGGGGGCCCGCACAAGCGGUGGAGCAUGUGGUUUAAUUCGAUGCAACGCGAAGAACCUUACCUGGUCUUGACAUCCACGGAAGUUUUCAGAGAUGAGAAUGUGCCUUCGGGAACCGUGAGACAGGUGCUGCAUGGCUGUCGUCAGCUCGUGUUGUGAAAUGUUGGGUUAAGUCCCGCAACGAGCGCAACCCUUAUCCUUUGUUGCCAGCGGUCCGGCCGGGAACUCAAAGGAGACUGCCAGUGAUAAACUGGAGGAAGGUGGGGAUGACGACAAGUCAUCAUGGCCCUUACGACCAGGGCUACACACGUGCUACAAUGGCGCAUACAAAGAGAAGCGACCUCGCGAGAACAAGCGGACCUCAUAAAGUGCGUCGUAGUCCGGAUUGGAGUCUGCAACUCGACUCCAUGAAGUCGGAAUCGCUAGUAAUCGUGGAUCAGAAUGCCACGGUGAAUACGUUCCCGGGCCUUGUACUCACCGCCCGUCACACCAUGGGAGUGGGUUGCAAAAGAAGUAGGUAGCUUAACCUUCGGGAGGGCGCUUACCACUUUGUGAUUCAUGACUGGGGUGAAGUCGGAACAAGGUAACCGUAGGGGAACCUGCGGUUG
This 1223-nucleotide ribosomal RNA is filed under the name metagenome. RNAcentral's name for it is "bacterial SSU rRNA". It matches the Rfam family "Bacterial small subunit ribosomal RNA", at positions 304 to 1520 of the family's 1533-position model. The record is from RNAcentral.